This 247-nucleotide ribosomal RNA is filed under the name uncultured bacterium. RNAcentral's name for it is "partial 16S ribosomal RNA". It matches the Rfam family "Bacterial small subunit ribosomal RNA", at positions 523 to 769 of the family's 1533-position model. The record is from RNAcentral.
AUACGUAGGGAGCAAGCGUUGUCCGGAAUUACUGGGCGUAAAGGGUGCGUAGGUGGCCAAAUAAGUCAGGUGUGAAAGACCGGGGCUCAACCCCGGGGUUGCACUUGAAACUGUAUGGCUUGAGUACAGGAGAGGGAAGUGGAAUUCCUAGUGUAGCGGUGAAAUGCGUAGAUAUUAGGAGGAACACCAGUGGCGAAGGCGACUUUCUGGACUGUAACUGACACUGAGGCACGAAAGCGUGGGGAGC